UGGCCGCAGUAAUUUGACUGUGCAAAGGUAGCAUAAUCAUUAGUUUUUUAAUUGAAAGCUUGUAUGAAGGGCUGGACGAGGUAAAAUCUGUCUCUAAUAAAUUUAAUUUAGAAUUUAACUUUUAAGUCAAAAGGCUUAAAUAAUAUUAAAAGACGAGAAGACCCUAUAGAUCUUUAUAAUUAAAAUAUUAAAAUUAAUUAGGAAUUUUUAAAAUUUUAUUUAUUUAAUUAUUUUAUUGGGGUAAUAUAAAGAUUUAAAUAAUUCUUUUUUUUUAUUUACAUAAAUUUAUGAAUUUAUGAUCCAAUUAUAUUGAUUAUAAGAUUAAGUUACCUUAGGGAUAACAGCGUAAUUUUUUUAGAGAGUUCUUAUCGAUAAAAAAGUUUGCGACCUCGAUGUUGGAUUAAAGAUUAUUUCAGGUGUAGAAGUUUGAAAAUUUUGGUCUGUUCGACCAUUAAAUCUUUACAUGAUCUGAGUUCAGACCGGCGUAAGCCAGGUCGGUUUCUAUCUUUAAUAAAUUAUAAUAUUUUAGUACGAAAGGACCAAUUAUUUAAUACAAGGUAUUUUAAUUUUGAUUAUUAUUA
RNAcentral lists this ribosomal RNA (581 nucleotides) under Nebria lafresnayei. Its description in RNAcentral is "partial large subunit ribosomal RNA". It matches the Rfam family "Bacterial large subunit ribosomal RNA", at positions 1928 to 2735 of the family's 2925-position model. The record is from RNAcentral. Lineage: Eukaryota; Metazoa; Arthropoda; Insecta; Coleoptera; Carabidae.